CCAAUGUGAGUUUGCCUCUGGUAGGUUUAACUAAUCUGGAGUUACUUCACUGCGACAGCUCAGAAAUUAGUGCUUGGUUUCUUGACAAAAUACAUUUUCUGGUCAACCGCAGAGAACUCAACAUAAGUGACUAUUUGCAUGAAAACGUAGCCAGAGAUCUACUUGAUUCCCCAUCAGUAAUUAAAUUAAUUCAAUCAUUGGCUUUAGCUUCUUAUUGUACGAUUCGACUUGGAGCUGCGUGAUCAGAAGCCAAAAUGAUUUCUAUUCGCAAAUAAAAGCAUUAAAAACAACAGAAUUUAUAUGCUUUGAUUGCUGUCAGUUUGGGUUUUAUGUCUUCAGGUAAAGACAUUGCCUAGGAUCGCAUUGCCAAACUAAAUCUGUAUAUAAUUGAGAUCAAAGUCCUAGUAUUCCUAUAAUCAUAUGAACUGCCAAGUUGAUUGGAAAGUGGUGAACUUCCAAAGGAGCUGAAAGUCGAGUACAAUCAUG
This 486-nucleotide small RNA is filed under the name Drosophila ananassae. RNAcentral's name for it is "GF27944". Lineage: Eukaryota; Metazoa; Arthropoda; Insecta; Diptera; Drosophilidae. The record is from RNAcentral.